Dunckerocampus dactyliophorus (ringed pipefish) is the source of this 945-nucleotide long non-coding RNA. RefSeq lists it as uncharacterized. NCBI's taxonomy places the organism in Eukaryota, Metazoa, Chordata, Actinopteri, Syngnathiformes, Syngnathidae. The transcript has 4 exons. The record is from RefSeq and is a predicted model, not a curated record.
CACUGCAGCAUAAAACGCACACAGCAACUGUGAAACCGCCUCUUGGAUACACUGUGGUGAAAGCUCUGCAAGUUCCCAAGGCUCAUCUAGACCUACGACAAAGUGGAAUUACUUUUGUGAGUCAUUUUGGAGAAAAAGAUCAGGAGAAUGUCCACUGGGGAGGCAUUUUUGUGAUGCAGAUGUAUUACUCUUUUGAAUGCAUAUGGUUUUGAGAAGCCAAACUCUUCACUUAAGUGUCCCCAGCAACUCACCGGAACUAAGUUCCUCAUCACCGAAAUCCGACCAGAACUGGGCUCACGGGACCAAGUGGGAGUGUGGCUCCUGGACGUGUUCUCAUGUCAACCAGACCACCAGGGGGAGGCUGUUUACCAGGAAAGUUGUUAUAGUACGGGACCUCAGGCAGGGGAGCAGCCUCGUCAUCCUCUUCCUCCCAUGCAGAGCCAUCAAAUGGAGCCAUUCUAGUCAUCUGAUGAGUGGAGGGAGGAGGCGGGCAGGAGGUGGAAGAGCCACACGGACGCCGUUUCAUUCUAGCCGGUUACAAACUUAACUUUAAAGAGUGGACAGUUAGAGCUGUAUACUUGCUCACUUGAACUUUAUUGUAAACUUCAGCAGCAGGUACAAUCAUCAUUACUAACACUGACCUGGCUCACUAUCUGUCAUGUGUCUCCAUUAAACCAUUCCCACUUGUGUUAAAGGUUCCUACCUUUAUAUUAAAAUCCUAUUGUAACAGACGCUAGCUUCUUUCUGGAAUUCAAUCGUGUUUCUCACCUUCUUUAUCAAAAGUUCUGGCACUUGCAACUUUCUUUGGCAUCAUGGUGGCUUAUUUUGCAGUUGUAAUAAAAAAAUUUUAAAAAACCCCACACAGAACACUACCAGAAAUACGCAGUGUGCUUGAACGCCUCAUCAGUGCUUAUUAGAGGGCCGAAAGGAGACAGAAACUGUGUU